RNAcentral lists this ribosomal RNA (589 nucleotides) under uncultured archaeon. Its description in RNAcentral is "bacterial SSU rRNA". It matches the Rfam family "Archaeal small subunit ribosomal RNA", at positions 25 to 622 of the family's 1478-position model. The record is from RNAcentral.
CACUGCUAUCGGGGUUCGAUUAAGCCAUGCGAGUCGAGAGGGUUCAGACCCUCGGCGCACUGCUCAGUAACACGUGGAUAACCUACCCUGAGGAGGGGGAUAACCCCGGGAAACUGGGGAUAAUACCUCAUAGGUUUCAGAUGCUGGAAUGCUCUGAAACCGAAAUGCUCCGGCGCCUCAGGAUGGAUCUGCGGCCGAUUAGGUUGUUGUUGGGGUAACGGCCCAACAAGCCCGUCAUCGGUACGGGUUGUGAGAGCAAGAGCCCGGAGAUGGAUUCUGAGACACCAAUCCAGGCCCUACGGGGCGCAGCAGGCGCGAAACCUUUACAAUGCGAGCAAUCGUGAUAAGGGAACCCCGAGUGCCUGAAACCAGGCUGUUCAGGUGUUUAAAAAGCACCUGGAGAAAGGGCCGGGCAAGACCGGUGCCAGCCGCCGCGGUAAUACCGGCGGCUCGAGUGGUGGCCGCUAUUAUUGGGCUUAAAGCGUUCGUAGCUGGGUUGUUAAGUCUCUUGGGAAAUCUCACGGCUCAACCGUGAGGCGACUAAGAGAUACUGGCAAUCUUGGGACCGGGAGAGGUGAGAGGUACUCCA